GACAGAGGGUGCAAACGUUGCUCGGAAUUACUGGGCGUAAAGCGCGUGUAGGCGGGCUAGUAAGUCGGACGUGAAAUCCCUGGGCUCAACCCAGGAACUGCAUCCGAAACUAUUAGCCUUGAGUGGUGGAGAGGGAAGCAGAAUUCCUGGUGUAGAGGUGAAAUUCGUAGAUAUCAGGAGGAACACCGGUGGCGAAGGCGGCUUCCUGGACACUAACUGACGCUGAGACGCGAAAGCAUGGGGAUCAAACAGG
RNAcentral lists this ribosomal RNA (253 nucleotides) under uncultured bacterium. RNAcentral's name for it is "partial 16S ribosomal RNA". It matches the Rfam family "Bacterial small subunit ribosomal RNA", at positions 524 to 776 of the family's 1533-position model. The record is from RNAcentral.